Molecule: ribosomal RNA, 380 nt
Filed under: uncultured organism
Description: partial 16S ribosomal RNA
Rfam family: Bacterial small subunit ribosomal RNA
Source: RNAcentral
GUAGGUGGCAAGCGUUGUCCGGAAUUAUUGGGCGUAAAGCGCGCGCAGGCGGUUCUUUAAGUCUGAUGUGAAAGCCCCACGGCUCAACCGUGGGAGGGUCAUUGGAAACUGGAGAACUUGAGUACAGAAGAGGAAAGCGGAAUUCCACGUGUAGCGGUGAAAUGCGUAGAGAUGUGGAGGAACACCAGUGGCGAAGGCGGCUUUUCUGGUCUGUAACUGACGCCGAGGCGCGAAAGCGUGGGGAGCAAACAGGGAUUAGAUACCCUGGUAGUCCACGCCGUAAACGAUGAGUGCUAAGUGUUAGGGGGGGUUUUCCGCCCCCCUUAGUGCUGCAGCUAACGCAUUAAGCACUCCGCCUGGGGAGUACGGCCGCAAGGCUG